GCCGCGGUCGCCUAAUGGUAUGGCGCCGGUCUGAGCAACCGGUACCCGUAAGGGUAUCUGGGUUCAAAUACCUUUCGGUUGCUUGAAUCGUUGGGUUGAAUUUCCCCGCCGCGGCG
RNAcentral lists this transfer RNA (116 nucleotides) under Candidatus Aenigmatarchaeota archaeon. Its description in RNAcentral is "tRNA-Leu". It matches the Rfam family "tRNA". From Rfam's summary of the family: Transfer RNA (tRNA) molecules are approximately 80 nucleotides in length. Their secondary structure includes four short double-helical elements and three loops (D, anti-codon, and T loops). The record is from RNAcentral. Lineage: Archaea; Nanobdellati; Candidatus Aenigmatarchaeota.